CUGCGGCAGCGAACGUAUCACCCAAGACAACUUUACGGAGUUGACGAUUGACGGAGCGAAGCGACGUCAAAGCGUUCAUUAAAGUCGAGUUGGCUUAGGGAUACGUUCGUUGGGUAGGGGAGCGUUCUGUAAGCCUGUGAAGGUGUGUCGUGAGGCAUGCUGGAGGUAUCAGAAGUGCGAAUGCUGACAUAAGUAACGAUAAAGCGGGUGAAAAGCCCGCUCGCCGGAAGACCAAGGGUUCCUGUCCAACGUUAAUCGGGGCAGGGUGAGUCGACCCCUAAGGCGAGGCCGAAAGGCGUAGUCGAUGGGAAACGGGUUAAUAUUCCCGUACUUGGUGUUACUGCGAAGGGGGGACGGAGAAGGCUAUGUUGGCCGGGCGACGGUUGUCCCGGUUUAAGCGUGUAGGUGUGUGUUCCAGGUAAAUCCGGUUCACUUUAACACUGAGGCGUGACGACGAGGCACUACGGUGCUGAAGCAACAAAUGCCCUGCUUCCAGGAAAAGCCUCUAAGCAUCAGGUAACAUCAAAUCGUACCCCAAACCGACACAGGUGGUCAGGUAGAGAAUACCAAGGCGCUUGAGAGAACUCGGGUGAAGGAACUAGGCAAAAUGGUGCCGUAACUUCGGGAGAAGGCACGCUGACACGUAGGUGAAGUGAUUUACUCAUGGAGCUGAAGUCAGUCGAAGAUACCAGCUGGCUGCAACUGUUUAUUAAAAACACAGCACUGUGCAAACACGAAAGUGGACGUAUACGGUGUGACGCCUGCCCGGUGCCGGAAGGUUAAUUGAUGGGGUCAGCGCAAGCGAAGCUCCUGAUCGAAGCCCCGGUAAACGGCGGCCGUAACUAUAACGGUCCUAAGGUAGCGAAAUUCCUUGUCGGGUAAGUUCCGACCUGCACGAAUGGCGUAAUGAUGGCCAGGCUGUCUCCACCCGAGACUCAGUGAAAUUGAACUCGCUGUGAAGAUGCAGUGUACCCGCGGCAAGACGGAAAGACCCCGUGAACCUUUACUAUAGCUUGACACUGAACAUUGAGCCUUGAUGUGUAGGAUAGGUGGGAGGCUUUGAAGUGUGGACGCCAGUCUGCAUGGAGCCGACCUUGAAAUACCACCCUUUAAUGUUUGAUGUUCUAACGUGGGCCCGUUA
Molecule: ribosomal RNA, 1141 nt
Filed under: Salmonella enterica
Lineage: Bacteria; Pseudomonadati; Pseudomonadota; Gammaproteobacteria; Enterobacterales; Enterobacteriaceae
Description: partial 23S ribosomal RNA
Rfam family: Bacterial large subunit ribosomal RNA
Source: RNAcentral